Molecule: ribosomal RNA, 489 nt
Filed under: uncultured bacterium
Lineage: Bacteria
Description: partial 16S ribosomal RNA
Rfam family: Bacterial small subunit ribosomal RNA
Source: RNAcentral
AGUGAACGCUGGCGGUAGGCCUAACACAUGCAAGUCGAACGGCAGCACAGUAAGAGCUUGCUCUUACGGGUGGCGAGUGGCGGACGGGUGAGGAAUACAUCGGAAUCUACUUUUUCGUGGGGGAUAACGUAGGGAAACUUACGCUAAUACCGCAUACGACCUACGGGUGAAAGCAGGGGAUCUUCGGACCUUGCGCGAUUGAAUGAGCCGAUGUCGGAUUAGCUAGUUGGCGGGGUAAAGGCCCACCAAGGCGACGAUCCGUAGCUGGUCUGAGAGGAUGAUCCACCAUACAGGAAAGACGACACCCUGCCGACUACGACGGGCAGCAGUAGUGAGGAAUAUAGGACGAUGGGAGCACGGCUGCAGCAGUCACACCGGGUGGGUGAAGACGGCCGUCGGGUAGUACAGCCCUUUUGUUGAGAAAGAAAAGCAGCAGGUUACUACCCCGUUGUUACGACGGUAAAAAAAUAAUAACCGCCGACUAACUUC